UAGGCUAAUGAGCAUUAAAGCACAUGUGUAGAUGCACCCACUGAGUACUUGUGAGAAGUAAAGUCUGAAUUCAAAAUAAUUUACCCUGGUUACUUAAUUCUAAAAAUCAGGUUAAUCCAGUCAGGUCAUUCCAUUGGCAUCAGCAAGGUCUAGAACAGGUUUUAGGAACUGAUGCUUCUUUUCAAAACAAGGAUCUGCAAGCUUGUCUCUGUUAAUUUACUCAACAAAUACCCAGCUCUGAUAUUCAUGUUGUCUCUUUCCACAUAGAGCAACGCAAAGUACUCUUUUGAUGGUAAGUGCUAAAAAAACCCAACAACGACAACAACAACUUUGUUCUUCUCCAUAUCUCUGGUUCAUAUCCUAUAUCCUACCCAGUCCAGAGAGACGAAGAAUAUCUCUCUGAAGUUCUCAGUAGCACAUUAUAUCAUACAGCUCUAGUAAAUCUACCUUAGGCCCAUGGACUUUGUCAGAGCUUACAAAUGUAACAGGGUCAAUCUUUGUGAAUGGAAAGUUCCAAGAAAGACCUGUAUGCUACAGGAGAUACAGACUCUGUUGAUAGCAUCCCCUUUCAGUCGUUAAUGAUUCAAUACCCCUACCAUGUAACUAGCUGGAAAACAGUACGUCUUUUCUGUGAAAAAGAAAAAAAUACAUACUUAGGAUUUUUCUGCAUGUUUUCUGAUUUUCAAACAAUCGAUCAUCAAAAGCCCAGAAGAUUUCAAAACAAUUUUUUUUUUUUUACAAAAAUGUUUAUUUACAGGACAAAGAGCUUAUAUUCAGUCAGAAAUUUUUGAUGGGAUGGGAAGAUUUUGACUAGCUCUACUCAGCAGAAUGGUGGUAAAAUUUAACUGCAGUAGAAAUCACAAUCUAGUCCAAAGUGAAUCUUAUUUCUUGAUACAUUUCUUUUACCAUCUAAUGUUUGUUUGUUUUAGACCCCUCCCCAUAUCUUCCAUUUUCAUGGAAAUAGACUGAGAAGGUCAAGCAGCAAGUGCAGAGUGUAAAAUCAAGGGAAAAGAUGUGGUGAGUGAAGGGAUGACCAUGCUAGAGGUUGGUCCACAUAUUUCCAGAAGUAACAGAGAUCUGAGAAAGUCAGAAAAAACUGAAACAAAGAAGUUAAAUUCAUUGUUUUCAAAAAGAUAUACUCAUUGUGUGCAUCUUCUACAGUACUCAACUCUCCCCAAUUGCCCACAGCCAGAUACGUUUCCUGCAGCUCAUAAUACUUUCAAAAACAAAUGCUAAGAAUCAACAUGAAUGCAGCAAAAAAAUCCAUGUUAUUUGGAUUCUCCCUUCUACUCAAAUAUGUGGGAUUACUUGUUUGAUAGUGUUUAAAUAAUAUUCAAGUCACUAAUGAUUGAUUUGACUAGACAGUAGGUGUAUGCUUGUAAGCUGAUGACUUCCAUUUAAUGUGUGUUUUAGGGUAAUCAAAUAAAUGAUUAAAAUAGAUACAGUCAAUGCAGUAGUGGUUCAUUUCAUUGAGUAAAUAUAUAGUAGUACAUGUUUGUUUAUGGAUAACUGCAGUAGAUGAAGGAAGCUGUAUAACGUGAUGACAUAUAGUUUGGCAUAUCACGAAGAAAAUAGUUUGAAAACUCAGUGCAAAGCUUGAUCAUAACCUGUUUAUGCCCUUAUCCAGUUUAUCCCAUCAAAGGAUAUCAAAUGGGAACCACUAGCACUUAGGCAGACUCCAGUCCCAGUCUUUAAUUCAAUUGCUACAGACCAGUCAGAGAGCCAUUCCUAAUACCGGCAAUAACUAAAGUGGUAAUACCAAAAUACUAUUAAAAAGACCAUCCAUACCAGGGGUGUCAAACUCAUUUGCCCCUGGGGGCUGGACGAGCAUACUUGAGUUGAUCUGCAGGCUGGACUGGGAACAACUCCAUGCAGAGCACCUGUCGCGCUCAGUCCUGCCCACACACAGCAUGCAGCAUGCAGGGCUAGGGCCGAUCCAGCAACCUACAGGCCUGAUCAUAUGGCUUCACAUGGAUCUGGCUCAUGGGCCAUAUGUUUGACACCCUUGGUCUACACCUUAUUUAAACCUAGGCAAAACCUGGGUUAUCAGAGAUCAAAUGAGGAUGGCUUUUUUGUGAUUUCCAGACCCAUGAAGUUCACAUAAUGCACACAAACUUUGAAUAGAUAGACACAUUGAACUUCUAAACUGGCUGGAAUUCCCUGCCACAGGAUUAACAUAGUUGGGAAAUGGAUAUUUUUGAAUGCCAUGUUAAAGUGACGAUUGUAAUGGUGGGUCCUGGAUAAAGCAAGGCACAGCAGUGUCCUUCAGAAAUAUUCAGGAUGCAGGCUGUUUGAUGGUUAGGGAACAGCCAGAGUAUGGUAAUAAAUGGUUUUUUUCCCUUCUCUUUCUGCCCCACAAAAGCUCAUAA
This is a long non-coding RNA of Gavialis gangeticus (Gharial), 2369 nucleotides long. RefSeq lists it as uncharacterized. NCBI's taxonomy places the organism in Eukaryota, Metazoa, Chordata, Crocodylia, Gavialidae. The transcript is spliced from 3 exons. The record is from RefSeq and is a predicted model, not a curated record.